RNAcentral lists this ribosomal RNA (274 nucleotides) under uncultured bacterium. RNAcentral's name for it is "partial 16S ribosomal RNA". It matches the Rfam family "Bacterial small subunit ribosomal RNA", at positions 523 to 796 of the family's 1533-position model. The record is from RNAcentral.
AUACGGAGGGGGCUAGCGUUGUUCGGAAUUACUGGGCGUAAAGCGCGCGUAGGCGGAUUGACAAGUUGGAGGUGAAAUCCCGGGGCUCAACCCCGGAACUGCCUUCAAAACUGUCAGUCUCGAGUUCGGAAGAGGUGAGUGGAAUUCCUAGUGUAGAGGUGAAAUUCGUAGAUAUUCGGAAGAACACCAGUGGCGAAGGCGACUCACUGGUCCGAUACUGACGCUGAGGUGCGAAAGCGUGGGGAGCAAACAGGAUUAGAAACCCCUGUAGUCC